Trypanosoma brucei brucei is the source of this 71-nucleotide small nucleolar RNA. It matches the Rfam family "Trypanosomatid snoRNA TB11Cs2H1". NCBI's taxonomy places the organism in Eukaryota, Euglenozoa, Kinetoplastea, Trypanosomatida, Trypanosomatidae. The record is from Rfam.
AAAGCUCUUUUAUGUAGUGUGCGUACCACGAAAGUAGCAGGUACUGCACACGAAACUGGAGAGCGAGACUC